This 75-nucleotide transfer RNA is filed under the name Candidatus Magasanikbacteria bacterium RIFCSPHIGHO2_01_FULL_47_8. Its description in RNAcentral is "tRNA-Cys". It matches the Rfam family "tRNA". From Rfam's summary of the family: Transfer RNA (tRNA) molecules are approximately 80 nucleotides in length. Their secondary structure includes four short double-helical elements and three loops (D, anti-codon, and T loops). Further hydrogen bonds mediate the characteristic L-shaped molecular structure. tRNAs have two regions of fundamental functional importance: the anti-codon, which is responsible for specific mRNA codon recognition, and the 3' end, to which the tRNAs corresponding amino acid is attached (by aminoacyl-tRNA synthetases). tRNAs cope with the degeneracy of the genetic code in two manners: having more than one tRNA (with a specific anti-codon) for a particular amino acid; and 'wobble' base-pairing, i.e. permitting non-standard base-pairing at the 3rd anti-codon position. The record is from RNAcentral. Lineage: Bacteria; Candidatus Magasanikiibacteriota.
GGUCGCAUAGCCAAGCAGUAAGGCAGAGGUCUGCAAAACCUCUAUGCGUGGGUGCAAUUCCCACUGCGACCUCAA